This 253-nucleotide ribosomal RNA is filed under the name uncultured bacterium. RNAcentral describes it as "partial 16S ribosomal RNA". It matches the Rfam family "Bacterial small subunit ribosomal RNA", at positions 524 to 776 of the family's 1533-position model. The record is from RNAcentral.
UACGUAGGGUGCAAGCGUUGUCCGGAAUUAUUGGGCGUAAAGAGCUCGUAGGCGGUUUGUUGCGUCGGAUGUGAAAGCCCGGGGCUUAACCCCGGGUCUGCAUUCGAUACGGGCAGACUGGAGUGUGGUAGGGGAGAUCGGAAUUCCUGGUGUAGCGGUGAAAUGCGCAGAUAUCAGGAGGAACACCGGUGGCGAAGGCGGAUCUCUGGGCCAUGACUGACGCUGAGGAGCGAAAGCGUGGGGAGCGAACAGG